This 237-nucleotide unclassified non-coding RNA is filed under the name Hevea brasiliensis (rubber tree). Lineage: Eukaryota; Viridiplantae; Streptophyta; Magnoliopsida; Malpighiales; Euphorbiaceae. The record is from RNAcentral.
AAGAGGAUGAUGCCCCCAUCGUCGAGGACGCGAAGGACGACGAUGACGACGACGACGAUGGGGAGGACGAGGAUGAGGAUAUAGCUGAAGAUGGUGGCGGAAUGAUGUCCCUUCCAGAUACUGAUGUGGAAGAUCAUGAUGAUACUAGACUGGCAGAUGACUACAAUGAUGAGAUGGUAGAUGAAGAGGAUGAUGAUUUUCAUGAGAAUAGAGUCAUUGAGGUCAGGUGGAGAGAGG